RNAcentral lists this ribosomal RNA (460 nucleotides) under uncultured bacterium. RNAcentral's name for it is "partial 16S ribosomal RNA". It matches the Rfam family "Bacterial small subunit ribosomal RNA", at positions 338 to 795 of the family's 1533-position model. The record is from RNAcentral.
CCUACGGGAGGCAGCAGUGAGGAAUAUUGGUCAAUGGACGAGAGUCUGAACCAGCCAAGUAGCGUGAAGGAAGACGGCCCUAUGAGUUGUAAACUUCUUUUGUAAGGGAGUAAAAGCAGGCACGUGUGUCUUUUUGAAUGUAUUUUAUGAAUAAAGAUCGGCUAACUCCGUGCCAGCAGCCGCGGUAAUACGGAGGAUCCGAGCGUUAUCCGGAUUUAUUGGGUUUAAAGGGAGCGUAGUUGGGUUGUGAAGUUAGAUGUGAAAGUUUGCGGCUCAACUUUAGAAUUGCAUUUGAUACUGGGCGUCUAGAGUGUAGUUGAGGUAGGCGGAAUGUGUGGUGUAGCGGUGAAAUGCUUAGAUAUCAUGAAGAACACCGAUUGCGAAGGCAGCUUACUAAGCUGUGACUGACGUUGAGGCACGAAAGCGUGGGGAGCAAACAGGAUUAGAUACCCCGGUAGUC